RNAcentral lists this ribosomal RNA (458 nucleotides) under uncultured bacterium. Its description in RNAcentral is "partial 16S ribosomal RNA". It matches the Rfam family "Bacterial small subunit ribosomal RNA", at positions 338 to 795 of the family's 1533-position model. The record is from RNAcentral.
CCUACGGGUGGCUGCAGUGGGGAAUAUUGCACAAUGGGCGCAAGCCUGAUGCAGCGACGCCGCGUGCGGGAUGGAGGCCUUCGGGUUGUAAACCGCUUUUGUUCAAGGGCAAGGCACGUUCUUUGGCCGUGUUGAGUGGAUUGUUCGAAUAAGCACCGGGUAACUACGUGCCAGCAGCCACGGUAAUACGUAGGGUGCAAGCGUUUUCCGGGUUUAAUGGGCGUAAAGGGCUCGUAGGCGGUUCGUUCCGGCCGGUGUGAAAGUCCAGCGGUUAACGGUGGAUCCGCGGUGGGUACGGGAGGGCUUGAGUGCGGUAGGGGAGACUGGAAUUCGCGGUGUAACGGUGGAAUGUGUAGAUAUCGGGAAGAACACCAAUGGCGAAGGCAGGUCGCUGGGCCGUUACUGACGCUGAGGAGCGAAGGCGCGGGGAGCGAACAGGAUUAGAUACCCGAGUAGUC